UGUUGCUUGCAAGGGCGUAUGGUGGAUGCCUUGGCAGACAGGACCGAUGAAGGACGUUUGAGGCUGCGAUAUGCCUCGGGGAGCCGCCAACAGGGCUUUGAUCCGAGGAUUUCCGAAUGGGGGAACCCACCGACCGUCAUGGGUCGGUACCGGCUUCGGCCGGGGGGUACGCAGGGAAGUGAAACAUCUCAGUACCUGCAGGAAAGGAUAUUCCGUGAGUAGUGGCGAGCGAAAGCGGAUGAUGGCCAAACCUUGCGCGUGUGAUACCCGUCGGGGGUUGCGCGCGGGGUGUUGCGGGAUCGCGUGCGCCGGCUCCGACGGGCCGGCCGGCAGUUGCAGAAAACCAUGUGUCAGGGGAACCGGGUUGAAUACCGGGCCGCAGAGGGUGAGGGCCCCGUACCUGAACGCGCAUGGUCUGCCGAUCGCGUCUCCCAAGUAGCACGGGUCCCGUGGAACCCCGUGCGAAUCCGCCCAGACCGUUGGGUAAGCCUGAAUAUUCCUGUCUGACCGAUAGCGAACGAGUACCGUGAGGGAAAGGUGAAAAGUACCCCGGGAGGGGAGUGAAACAGUCUCUGAAACCGUGCGCCUACAAUCCGUCGGAGCCCUUUUGUGGGGUGACGGCGUGCCUAUCGAAAAAUGAGUCUGCGAGUCAGUGGCAUGUGGCGAGCAUAACCCGUGUGGGGUAUGCGUAGCGAAGGCGAGUCUUAAAAGGCGUUUGAGUCGCGUGUCCUGGACCCGAAGCGGGAUGAUCUAGCCCUGGGCAGGUUGAAGCGCGGGUAAGACCGCGUGGAGGACCGAACCCACCUGGGUUGAAAACCGGGGGGAUGACCUGGGGCUAGGGGUGAAAGGCCAAUCAAAUUCCGUGAUAGCUGGUUCUCUCCGAAAUGCAUUUGGGUGCAGCGUCGGGUCAUUACGUCCCGGGGGUAGAGCUACUGGAUGCUUGCGGGCCCGUAUCGGGUACCAACAGCAACCAAACUCCGAAUACCGGUGACGCGUAUCCCGGCAGUGAGUCGGCGGGGGAUAAGCUUCGUCGUCGAAAGGGAAACAGCCCAGACCGUCGUCUAAGGUCCCGAAGCGUGUGCUAAGUGGGAAAGGAUGUGGAGUCGCAUAGACAGCCAGGAGGUUGGCUCAGAAGCAGCCAUCCUUGAAAGAGUGCGUAACAGCUCACUGGUCUAGUGGUUCCGCGCCGACAAUGUAGCGGGGCUCAAGCACACCACCGAAGACGCGGCAGUAUUUUGUACUGGGUAGGAGAGCGUCCCAUGAGGGGCGAAGCGGCCGUGUGAACGCGCCGUGGACUUCAUGGGAGUGAGAAUGCAGACAUGAGUAGCGAGAGACGGGUGAAGAUCCCGUCCGCUGGAUGACCAAGGGUUCCAGGGCCACGUUCAUCGUCCCUGGGUGAGUCGGGUCCUAAGGCGAGGCCGACAGGCGUAGUCGAAUGGAUGAACGGGUCGAUAUUCCCGUACCGGCUUUCAGCCGCCAAAACCGAGGCUUGGAGUACUAACCUCCGGGUCCGGGCUUACUGCUCCUUCGGGGGCGGGAUGCCCUGGCCUGUUGGGACCGAUCCUUGUAGUAGGUCAGCGCAGGAGUGACGCAGAAGGGUAGCCGGCCGCGGAGGUGGUCUUCCGUGGUCAAGCACGCAGGGCGUGGGACAGGCAAAUCCGUCCCGCAUGGGUCCGAGGUGCGAUGAUGGGGGCCUUAUGGCCCGAUAUCCGGUGAUCCCGGCUGCCGAGAAAAGCUUCGGCGUCAGGCUCAAAGCCGCCCGUACCCCAAACCGACACUGGUGGUCAGGUAGAGAAUACCAAAGCGAUCGAGCGAAUCCUGGUCAAGGAACUCGGCAAAUCACUCCCGUUCCUUCGGUUUAAGGGAGACCCCCGAUGGUGAACACACUUGCUGUGGGAGCUUUUGGGGGUGGCACAGACCAGGGGGUAGCGACUGUUUACCAAAAACACAGGUGCAUGCGAAGGCGCAAGCCGCUGUAUAUGCACUGACGCCUGCCCGGUGCCGGAAGGUUAAGAGGAUCCGUCAGCCCCUUUUGGGGUGAAGCGGUGAAUUCAAGCCCCGGUAAACGGCGGUGGUAACUAUAACCAUCCUAAGGUAGCGAAAUUCCUUGUCGGGUAAGUUCCGACCUGCACGAAUGGCGUA
This 2142-nucleotide ribosomal RNA is filed under the name human gut metagenome. Its description in RNAcentral is "bacterial LSU rRNA". It matches the Rfam family "Bacterial large subunit ribosomal RNA", at positions 1 to 2003 of the family's 2925-position model. The record is from RNAcentral.